GAUGAACGCUGGCGGCGCGCCUAAUACAUGCAAGUCGAGCGAUGAGGCCCCUUCGGGGGUACAUCAGCGGCGGACGGGUGAGUGACACGUAGGUGACCUGCCCCGAAGACGGGGACAACCACUGGAAACGGUGGCUAAUACCCGAUGUGCUCGGUAAUUCGGUUUAUCGAGUAAAGCUCCGGCGCUUCGGGAUGGACCUGCGGCCUAUCAGCUAGUUGGUGGGGUAACGGCCCACCAAGGCUAAGACGGGUAGGGGGCGUGAGAGCGCGAUCCCCCACACUGGCACUGAGACACGGGCCAGACUCCUACGGGAGGCAGCAGUCGGGGAUAUUGCACAAUCGGCGAAAGCCGGAUGCAGCGACGCCGCGUGGGCGAUGAAGGCCUUCGGGUUGUAAAGCCCUUUUCUGGGGGAAGAGAAAGGACGUACCC
RNAcentral lists this ribosomal RNA (429 nucleotides) under uncultured bacterium. Its description in RNAcentral is "bacterial SSU rRNA". It matches the Rfam family "Bacterial small subunit ribosomal RNA", at positions 28 to 480 of the family's 1533-position model. The record is from RNAcentral.